UACGGAGGGGGCUAGCGUUGUUCGGAAUUACUGGGCGUAAAGCGCGUGUAGGCUGCUUGGAAAGUCGGAUGUGAAAGCCCUGGGCUCAACCUAGGAAGUGCAUUCGAAACUUCCAAGCUGGAGUGCUGGAGAGGAAGGCGGAAUUCUCGGUGUAGAGGUGAAAUUCGUAGAUAUCGAGAGGAACACCGGUGGCGAAGGCGGCCUUCUGGACAGUCACUGACGCUGAGACGCGAAAGCGUGGGGAGCAAACAGG
This 253-nucleotide ribosomal RNA is filed under the name uncultured bacterium. RNAcentral's name for it is "partial 16S ribosomal RNA". It matches the Rfam family "Bacterial small subunit ribosomal RNA", at positions 524 to 776 of the family's 1533-position model. The record is from RNAcentral.